Molecule: transfer RNA, 73 nt
Filed under: Hordeum vulgare
Lineage: Eukaryota; Viridiplantae; Streptophyta; Magnoliopsida; Poales; Poaceae
Description: tRNA-OTHER
Source: RNAcentral
CUGUCCGUAGCGUAGUGGUAGCAAGCCGUUGUUGCCUGUCGAGAGGUCGUGGGUUCGAUCCCCCCUCGGCAAA